RNAcentral lists this ribosomal RNA (454 nucleotides) under uncultured Bacteroides sp. RNAcentral's name for it is "partial 16S ribosomal RNA". It matches the Rfam family "Bacterial small subunit ribosomal RNA", at positions 341 to 792 of the family's 1533-position model. The record is from RNAcentral. Lineage: Bacteria; Pseudomonadati; Bacteroidota; Bacteroidia; Bacteroidales; Bacteroidaceae.
ACGGAAGGCAGCAGUGAGGAAUAUUGGUCAAUGGGCGGAAGCCUGAACCAGCCAAGUCGCGUGAAGGAUGAAGGUAUUAUGUAUUGUAAACUUCUUUAGACGUAGAGAAAUAAGGGGAUCGUGAUCCCUGAUGCUAGUAUACGUAGAAUAAGGAUCGGCUAACUCCGUGCCAGCAGCCGCGGUAAUACGGAGGAUCCGAGCGUUAUCCGGAUUUAUUGGGUUUAAAGGGAGCGUAGGCGGGAUGUCAAGUCAGCUGUGAAAUGUAGUCGCUCAACGUCUGCACUGCAGUUGAAACUGGUGUUCUUGAGUGCGUAAGAGGCAGGUGGAAUUCGUCGUGUAGCGGUGAAAUGCAUAGAUAUGACGAAGAACUCCGAUUGCGAAGGCAGCCUGCUGGGCCGCUACUGACGCUGAAGCUCGAAGGUGCGGGUAUCAAACAGGAUUAGAUACCCUGGUA